UAAUACGAAGGGUGCAAGCGUUACUCGGAAUUACUGGGCGUAAAGCGUGCGUAGGUGGUUUGUUAAGUCUGUUGUGAAAGCCCCGGGCUCAACCUGGGAAUGGCAAUGGAUACUGGCAAGCUAGAGUGCGGUAGAGGGUAGUGGAAUUCCCGGUGUAGCGGUGAAAUGCGUAGAGAUCGGGAGGAACACCAGUGGCGAAGGCGGCUACCUGGACCAGCACUGACACUGAGGCACGAAAGCGUGGGGAGCAAACAGGAUUAGAUACCCUGGUAGUCCACGCCCUAAACGAUGCGAACUGGACGUUGGGAGCAACUUGGCUCUCAGUGUCGAAGCUAACGCGUUAAGUUCGCCGCCUGGGGAGUACGGUCGCAAGACUG
RNAcentral lists this ribosomal RNA (377 nucleotides) under uncultured bacterium. RNAcentral's name for it is "bacterial SSU rRNA". It matches the Rfam family "Bacterial small subunit ribosomal RNA", at positions 521 to 896 of the family's 1533-position model. The record is from RNAcentral.